Non-coding RNA from Paramuricea clavata, 298 nucleotides. Lineage: Eukaryota; Metazoa; Cnidaria; Anthozoa; Malacalcyonacea; Plexauridae. The record is from the annotation of a GenBank genome assembly.
CUUUAGCAUAUAAUGAUAUAUUCUUACGCUCGAUAACAUUCUUUGAAUGCAGUUCUAAGUUCAAAGUUUGAUUGAUGAUAUCAUGGCUGCAUAAUAUGAUGGAUUGCAGAAUGUUGCAAAUAGACAAUAUUAAAUAUAGGAGACAAUCAACAGCCUACUAUAGUAAGGCAAUAAUAGCAGACUGAUCAUGGAUUUUUGUAGAUGGACAUUUCAAAUGGAAACUGUACAGUUAACAUGUGUUUCAUAGAACUAACUGAGAGCAUGUUUCGCUCGCUAAUCUGGUUUAAAUAAAUUAUUA